UCAGGGGAAGCUCAGGGAACGUGAGCGAGUUUUAGCAAAGCAUUUUAAGAAAAGCCGUUAUGGGCGGAGAUGGGCAGAGAUGUUACGGGCGGGUGUGUGCACGUGUUCCGUGUGUAGAAGCCGGCGUGCAUGUGUCCAUGCUGAGGCCAGAGGAGAGCUGUGUCAUCUUCAGGCAUUGGGGGUGUCUGUUUGUGUUUUGAGGCUUGGGCUUCCUGCUGAAAUUUGGCUAGCCAACCGGCAGCUCGCCCAGAGAUCUGCCCGCCUCUGCCUCAUCGGUAGGAAACUACAUCUGCGCACCACUGAGAGGCUCAGGGACGGGAGUCUGAGGAUUGAGGCCCAGGCCUCCAUGAUUAUGUAGAAAACACUUUAUAAACUGAGUCAUCGCCAGCUCCCUUUUUAGUUAAAAAAAAAAA
Molecule: long non-coding RNA, 413 nt
Filed under: Rattus norvegicus (Norway rat)
Lineage: Eukaryota; Metazoa; Chordata; Mammalia; Rodentia; Muridae
Description: long non-coding RNA NONRATT017344
Source: RNAcentral